AUGAACAAGGCAAGGCGCCUCGCAACGGUGAAAUCUGUCCUCUGCGCGAUCCCCAUCUACCAGCUGCUGGUCUUCACGCCACCUAUAAAAACCAUCAAGCAGCUUGAGAAGAUUGAAGUAGGGUUCUUGUGGGCUGGCCGUGAGGCGGCCAAUGGCGGCAACUGCCAUGUCAACUGGCGCCGGCCGCCCCAUCGAGCUCGGAGGCCUCGGAAUUCCAGACCUGGAGCGCACCGGGCUGGCGUUGCGCCUUCGAUGGUUAUGGCUGAGCCGCACUGA
RNAcentral lists this ribosomal RNA (276 nucleotides) under Triticum aestivum (bread wheat). RNAcentral's name for it is "partial small subunit ribosomal RNA". The record is from RNAcentral. Lineage: Eukaryota; Viridiplantae; Streptophyta; Magnoliopsida; Poales; Poaceae.